AUAGUUUUAGUUAAAUGAAAAUUACUAUUGAUUUAUAAACAAUAAAAGGUAGAAUUUAAUUGUUGUUUUGUAUGAAAACUAUUAAUUAAAAUUGAAACUAUAAAAUCUAAUUAUAAACUAGGAUUAGAUACCCUAUUAUUUUAGAAAAAAAAAAGAAAACUAAAUUAGUAUUAGUUAUAUACUUUAAAAUUAAAAAAUUUGGCGGUGAUUUAAUCUUUUCAGAGGAAUUUGUUUUUUAAUCGAUAAUCCACGGAAAAUCUUACUUGUUUUUGUUAAAAUAUAAUUUAUGUCAGUUUGUAUACCAUCAUUAUCAGAUAAUUCUAAAAAGACAAAUUAUCAAAUUUAAUUGAUUAUCAAAAUUAGAUCAUGGUGCAGCUUAUAGACAAGUUAAAAUGAGUUACAAUAAAUUAUUUUAGAUGGAUUAAUAAGUUAAUUUUUAUUAUGAAGGAGGAUUUGAUAGUAUUAUAAUUUUAAUAAGUUUAUAAGACAAUGGCUCUAAAUCAUGUACAUAUCGCCCGUCGCUUU
This 525-nucleotide ribosomal RNA is filed under the name Parasesarma melissa. RNAcentral describes it as "partial 12S ribosomal RNA". The record is from RNAcentral. Lineage: Eukaryota; Metazoa; Arthropoda; Malacostraca; Decapoda; Sesarmidae.